Molecule: non-coding RNA, 101 nt
Organism: Paramarasmius palmivorus
Lineage: Eukaryota; Fungi; Basidiomycota; Agaricomycetes; Agaricales; Marasmiaceae
Source: the annotation of a GenBank genome assembly
GCCCGCCUAGCUCCAUCAGAUAGAGCGUCAGACUCUUACCUUGAAAGCAUAAUAGUUGUAUACGAAUCUGAAGGCUGCGAGUUCGACCCUCGCGGUCUGUU